RNAcentral lists this ribosomal RNA (1372 nucleotides) under uncultured bacterium. Its description in RNAcentral is "bacterial SSU rRNA". It matches the Rfam family "Bacterial small subunit ribosomal RNA", at positions 28 to 1381 of the family's 1533-position model. The record is from RNAcentral.
GAUGAACGCUGGCGGCGUGCCUAAUACAUGCAAGUCGAGCGAACGGACGAGAAGCUUGCUUCUCUGAUGUUAGCGGCGGACGGGUGAGUAACACGUGGAUAACCUACCUAUAAGACUGGGAUAACUUCGGGAAACCGGAGCUAAUACCGGAUAAUAUUUUGAACCGCAUGGUUCAAAAGUGAAAGACGGUCUUGCUGUCACUUAUAGAUGGAUCCGCGCUGCAUUAGCUAGUUGGUAAGGUAACGGCUUACCAAGGCAACGAUGCAUAGCCGACCUGAGAGGGUGAUCGGCCACACUGGAACUGAGACACGGUCCAGACUCCUACGGGAGGCAGCAGUAGGGAAUCUUCCGCAAUGGGCGAAAGCCUGACGGAGCAACGCCGCGUGAGUGAUGAAGGUCUUCGGAUCGUAAAACUCUGUUAUUAGGGAAGAACAUAUGUGUAAGUAACUGUGCACAUCUUGACGGUACCUAAUCAGAAAGCCACGGCUAACUACGUGCCAGCAGCCGCGGUAAUACGUAGGUGGCAAGCGUUAUCCGGAAUUAUUGGGCGUAAAGCGCGCGUAGGCGGUUUUUUAAGUCUGAUGUGAAAGCCCACGGCUCAACCGUGGAGGGUCAUUGGAAACUGGAAAACUUGAGUGCAGAAGAGGAAAGUGGAAUUCCAUGUGUAGCGGUGAAAUGCGCAGAGAUAUGGAGGAACACCAGUGGCGAAGGCGACUUUCUGGUCUGUAACUGACGCUGAUGUGCGAAAGCGUGGGGAUCAAACAGGAUUAGAUACCCUGGUAGUCCACGCCGUAAACGAUGAGUGCUAAGUGUUAGGGGGUUUCCGCCCCUUAGUGCUGCAGCUAACGCAUUAAGCACUCCGCCUGGGGAGUACGACCGCAAGGUUGAAACUCAAAGGAAUUGACGGGGACCCGCACAAGCGGUGGAGCAUGUGGUUUAAUUCGAAGCAACGCGAAGAACCUUACCAAAUCUUGACAUCCUUUGACAACUCUAGAGAUAGAGCCUUCCCCUUCGGGGGACAAAGUGACAGGUGGUGCAUGGUUGUCGUCAGCUCGUGUCGUGAGAUGUUGGGUUAAGUCCCGCAACGAGCGCAACCCUUAAGCUUAGUUGCCAUCAUUAAGUUGGGCACUCUAAGUUGACUGCCGGUGACAAACCGGAGGAAGGUGGGGAUGACGUCAAAUCAUCAUGCCCCUUAUGAUUUGGGCUACACACGUGCUACAAUGGACAAUACAAAGGGCAGCGAAACCGCGAGGUCAAGCAAAUCCCAUAAAGUUGUUCUCAGUUCGGAUUGUAGUCUGUAACUCGACUACAUGAAGCUGGAAUCGCUAGUAAUCGUAGAUCAGCAUGCUACGGUGAAUACGUUCCCGGGUCU